Molecule: transfer RNA, 77 nt
Filed under: Enterovibrio nigricans
Lineage: Bacteria; Pseudomonadati; Pseudomonadota; Gammaproteobacteria; Vibrionales; Vibrionaceae
Also listed under: 1 other name
Description: tRNA-Arg
Rfam family: tRNA
About the family: Transfer RNA (tRNA) molecules are approximately 80 nucleotides in length.
Source: RNAcentral
GCCCUCGUAGCUCAGCUGGAUAGAGUACCUGGCUACGAACCAGGCGGUCGGAGGUUCGAAUCCUCCCGGUCGCGCCA